CCCAAACUCGGUUCUUAUCGGCCAAACUACAAACAAUCGAUACAAACAAUCGUUUCUCGUGUAUAAUCCAGUUCGAGGCAAUGGAAGGUGGCCCUUUUGCGAUUCGAAGAUAAUUGGCACGAGCUCCAUCUAGAAAGAAAGAGAAAGAGAAAGAGAGAGAGAGAGAGAGAGAGAGAGAGAGAGAGAGAGAGAGAGAGAGACGAUUCGUAUGACGCGAUAAUCUAAAAAGCGCGAUAAAUUGAUGCCUAAGAAUAAGGGGAGGGCAAGGGAAAGGGACUAUGACAUCGGCGGGGUUCGAUAAGGUCGGUUAAAAAGAGGGUUGAGGGGAAAAAUGAGCGAGGAAGACGAUGCAAACGGGUUGUCGGAAGCGUCAAGUGGGGUUUCGGGUGAGAGACGACCAAGAGAGGGUGAGAGUGUCGGGCAGGAUUCGUGGUGAUGGUGGGGAGAGCUCGGGUAUAUGGAGUGCAGGUAUGAUGGCGCUAGGAGCGGGCGCGGGACGAAGAGAGGGAAUCCGGUGGAUACGAACUUGAAUAGCGAACGGUGGUUCAGUUUGCUUUCGUUGAUCGUCGAGGAAGGUUGGUAACGGUGCGCCGUCUGGUGGAUCGUACCAGUUUUAACGCACGUUGCGAUUCUUCCUCUCGAUAUAUUCGAGAUCACGAUCGAUCUUCCAUUUUCCAGAGGCAACGACGUGGUGAACGUAGUCGUGGAUUACCGUGUGCCAACGACAGUGUGUGAAUGUGGUCGUGAUACGAAUGAAGAUCAGUUAGUGACUAAGAAGUGCACUCUACUGUGAGUAAAGUGUCAAAUGCCAGCGGAUCAUGAAUACGAUGAUACGAAACUGGAUUCUCUGCACCCUUUUUCUACUGGGAUACGUUCAAGGUACGUACACAUCGGAGCAUCAACCGUGUGACAAGCGUGGCCUGACGCGAACUGAAUUUCCCACGUGGCCGGCAGACACCAACGCAAUUUUAUCACCAUUCAUCGUACGUAUCACGGUGUCAUUGAUACGAAAUACACGCCACUAUUGUUCGCGCGAAAAAAUCGCCCGAAUGACGGAUACAAUGAACAUUACACCGUUUAUUGCAUCGAUUUUAAUCGUUUUAACGAAUUUCGAUACCGUCAUUCGUGUUAUUCUUCCUUGUAAUUGAUUUUCUACAAACGAAAAAUAGAACUUUUUUUUUUUUUUUUUACGAAGAUUAGUCACGAUAAAUCUAAAAAUGAAAGAUGAACAAUUUGGUGAUCUUCAUAAUUUUAGCUUGUGAUUUUCAGCAUAUAGUUUAUUAUACGAAAAAUGUAAUUAGAAAAUGACUUAAUUGUACUUUUUAAUGUUAGAUAUUAAAAGUUAUAUGAUAUAAUAAUUUGCACGAUAUUAUUUUGUAACUGAUUUAUAGAAAUAUUUUGAAAAACAAUAAAGAUAAUUUAAUUAUUAA
Apis cerana (Asiatic honeybee) is the source of this 1430-nucleotide long non-coding RNA. RefSeq lists it as uncharacterized. Lineage: Eukaryota; Metazoa; Arthropoda; Insecta; Hymenoptera; Apidae. The record is from RefSeq and is a predicted model, not a curated record.